Mustela lutreola (European mink) is the source of this 623-nucleotide long non-coding RNA. RefSeq lists it as uncharacterized. The record is from RefSeq and is a predicted model, not a curated record. Lineage: Eukaryota; Metazoa; Chordata; Mammalia; Carnivora; Mustelidae. The transcript is spliced from 3 exons.
ACUUGGCUUCUUCCAGGGCACACAGAGCAGGAAAGAAGACAAGCCACACAACAAACAAGAAGAGGGUGCAGGAAGUUAAUGAACCAAAUGCAAAGUCAGCAUGUGGGCACACAGCUGAGAUGAGGCCUCAGUCCUGUGUGGGUCAACUCGGGCACUUACUGCUUAUUAUGUUCAAGCAGCGAAGGAACUCAGUGCUGUUAGGGAGAUCAAUCAGAAUGCAACUCUUUGAAGGAAUGAAACUACAUCUUAUCCCCAGAACCUAAAACAGUGCCAAGUACAUGACCAUCAACAUUGAUUCUCUGUCAUGAGUAAAAACACCUGACAAGAGUACUUUGAUGGAUUAAGGAGCCUAAUUAUCAUGAGACACUGUCUAUACCUCCAGUGAGUCUGGCUUCAUAGGACAAAAACUAUACUAGGAAGGACAACAGACUAUGUUCUAGUCCUAAAUCACUGUAUUUAAUCUCCACUGCUUCAAGACAAACUGAAGGAAAGACUUUGCAAACAUCUAUUUUUUAUUCUUAAGGACAGCCAUUGCUCUUCUUAUUUUAAAAAUGGACAAAGUCAGACUGUGAAUGAGAGAAUCCAAGACCAGAUCUGUUUAACUAUAAAAUCCCUGAACUUCA